UGAGUGGUUGGACUCACCUCACUUGCUGACUGGACUAGCCCAGCAGGUUCUACGGGUGAGAUCACUGCUUGGCUCUCUCAUUGCUAGGCCUGGUGGGUGGAAGAGGAACUGAAAUAAAUGGCCUGACUUUGGAUUUCAGAAACUCUCUUUCCUAUUCCCUCUCCCAAAUGCUUUCUUCUGCCAACUCUCUAGGGACUGAAGCAUUCAUUUCCAAACUCAUGCAUUCAUUCAUUCAACAAAUAUUUACUUAAUACCUAUAAUGUAUCAGGCACUGACCUAGGCUUUAGAAAUAUAAUAGUGAACCAGACAUUUCCUGCCUUUGAGGAUCUAUGAUGAAUAAUGAUAGUACACAGUGAAAAAUAUUACCAUUCGCAGAGCUCAAUAAUCCAAGUCUCUUAAAAAACAGAAAGUGCACAAAUGCUCUUUGGAAAGGUAUGGCAUGGAAGAGUAUCUAUAGAUUUGAACAUAUAAAAUUCACGGACAUGUGAAGACUUGUUCAUCUGUUUCACUGUGAGUCCAGAGUAAACCCCACCCUCCCUGCCAUACCCUCCAACUUUGUCUCGGAGAAGGCCACCACUGCAGCGCUGCUGGAAGCACCACUCUCAGGGGUCUCAAUCCACAUUGUCUUUGAGUGUCUUCAGCAUGUUGUCUCACAAGUACUCAGACCCAGUAGUAAGAUUAAAAUAUUCUACCAUAAUGUUCACCUUGGCCUUAUCACGUUAAAGAAAGAAAAGCAGGUGAUAAAGGGGCCUAGGAAGAGCGACCAGGAAAUAUCAUCUGUGUUUAGGUCAUAGGCAAAUCACAGGAUGAAUAUUUGCCUCCUCUUUCUCCUACAUCCAGUCUCUCUUUUGAUGAGAAGAAGAAUAACCUCAUUCUGAAUCAAUGAAAAGACUUCCGUCUUCUUGCCACUGGAUAUGUGUUAUCUGCACUUACAGAAUUGAAAGUGUGCAUCAAAGGAGCAUUCUCUUGGGAUGAAAGUUUUAUAGGGGAAGUCUGGAUGCUGGUGGAGCAGUGAGAAAGAAGAACUUAUUUUACCUCUGACUUGAGCACUGAAAAGAUACACCUUCACCACUGUUGCAACUCCAUACUUCUAAGAACUGCCAGAACUACUUUCCAGUGACUUCUUUCUACCACACUUCUCCUCCUCAGUGUAAGAGGAUGAAAGCACAUGAUGAUAUUUGAAGCAAGAAGAUUGAAGAAUUGCUGGCUGCUAACCCAAGGCUUGGAUUAGUACAAUCUUUUUAGUACAAUCUUUUUAGCUUUUUACUGUGAAGUUCAGGGAUCACAAAUGUUGUUUCAUCCAUGGAACUUUUGCAACUUGUUAUUUUCAUACCUGAGAUCUGGGGGGAAAGUUUAGUCUAAAUGGUUUCUAAAAUAGCCAUUAGCUCAGGAGAUAUGCAGCCAAUGCAUGUGACAGGAGCUUUGCCCACACUACCCUGUUUUUUGGUCAUGUAGUUUUUUUUUUUUUUUUUUUUUAAUGAUGUCAUUUAAAAACUUUGCUUUUGGGGAAUGAUUCCCCCCACUAUUUUUCUAUAGAGGGUCAGGAAAAUGUAUAAAUAAUUUCUGGGCUUGGGUGCAGAAGAUAUUCAUGCUGACAAACAGAAAUCUAAAGUGUUAAAGGAGAUUGUCCUUUGAAGAAACUUUUCCAGGUUUGAGUUCUAUAUUUUUGGAUUUGACUCAGUGAAAAAUCUUUACUGAGUACCUAGUAUAUGCCCAGCAUUCUGCUGCAUUAUAGGGGUUGGGGGACUAUAGUCCAGUUGGGAUACAGGAAGGAUGGAGAGAGAAUAUAUAUAGUUACAGCACAAGGCAGAAUAAGUUAUAGUAUACAAUGGGCUAUGGAAUAUUGUGGAGGAAGAGAGCAUUUUUAAUUAGUGGAGUCAGGAAACGCAUUACCAAGGUGAUGGCAUUCUUGCUGGGUCAUGAAGGAUAGAUAGGAUUUUGGCAGGUGAGGAGCCAUUCUAAUGCAAGAGAACAAUAAUAGAAAAAGCCCGGUGGUCCAUUGAGGGUAGAAGCAGGGAAAUAAAGGGCGGCUGGGUUUAUACUGUGAUUACUGA
Molecule: long non-coding RNA, 2054 nt
Organism: Aethalodelphis obliquidens (Pacific white-sided dolphin)
Lineage: Eukaryota; Metazoa; Chordata; Mammalia; Artiodactyla; Delphinidae
Exons: 4
Source: RefSeq, a predicted model, not a curated record